Molecule: long non-coding RNA, 1157 nt
Organism: Neogale vison (American mink)
Lineage: Eukaryota; Metazoa; Chordata; Mammalia; Carnivora; Mustelidae
Exons: 3
Source: RefSeq, a predicted model, not a curated record
UUUGGGGAAGUAAACCCCAAGCAACUAGGAGGUGGGCGCCAGGGAGGCCAAGGGAGCCCCCGGCCAAUGGCAAAGCGAGAAGGAUCUGAUUGACGCGGGGGUUGGACUGCGCCAAGGAGACCGAGCCCCAGGGCCGCGGUGCCCUCUGGUGAUGUUCAGAGGCUCCUCUGGCCCGGGCUUCCGUCCUCUUUUUUUACCCCACUUGUUGGGUCUAGGCCCUGAGGCCUUUCUCGCACCUUUUCUGCAGCUCGGUACCCGGGAAACCAAGUACGAAAGUUCCCGUUGUUUGUUUGGUUUUGUUUUGUUUUUUCUUUCUGGAGCAACUUUUUUAUUUCCAUGCGGCCACCUAAGAGCACUUGCUGGCUCUCACCAUUAGUCAGCACUCUUGUUGGACGACAGUUUAAGAGCAAGCGAGAGGGGAGAGUAGCGCCGUCGUGUACCUGCGAUCGUGUACAAAGGCAGCACGGGGAAGGUGCGGUUGAGUUUGAGAACACGGAACUCGACCCUGCUCUGGCCGGCUGGUGGGAGCCCGCUGAGUUCUUUCCCGUCUGUUGCUGCCAAGGAACCGUAGCCUGUGAGGUCUCCGCUCCGGUUGGUCCUUAAUGCAACAUCCUGGAAAGAAACUGAGAUUCAGAGAGGUUUAUUGCCCAGAACAGCCAGGAACUGAACACAGGUGCCUGGCAAGAUUAUUCUGUCCUGCCCCUUUAGAGACAGGCAUGACCACAUGCUCUACUUUGGCUGACACAAUGUGAGCAGAAGUGACACAUAUCUUUUCCAGGAAGAAAGGUCUUUGGAGCCAGUGAUUAUUUGCUGAGGUCUUCCCUCCCCACACACUAGCCCCCAUAUUCAGUAUCAUUCUGUUCAGAGAAUCUCCCUCAACCUGGGUCCCUGAGGAAAAAUCAUUUGCACAGAAACAAUCCUCCAAACUGCCCAACCUGCAAUGGUCAUAUGACAUAAACCAGGUGGAGAAAUCUGUUUUUUUAAGCCUUUGAGGUUUUGUGAUGGUUUGUUGCGAUAGCCUUAACUGGCCUUUCUUGCCAGUUACAGAUAAAUUUCCAGAUCUACCAGUGUUUCAGCAGACACUCAAAAUCUGGAUUACUCACUGUUCUUUCUUAACAUUUUAUUAAUGAUAUAAAAGUGUUUGGUCCUCAUUUUUU